Molecule: ribosomal RNA, 460 nt
Filed under: uncultured bacterium
Lineage: Bacteria
Description: partial 16S ribosomal RNA
Rfam family: Bacterial small subunit ribosomal RNA
Source: RNAcentral
CCUACGGGAGGCAGCAGUGAGGAAUAUUGGUCAAUGGCCGUAAGGCUGAACCAGCCAAGUCGCGUGAAGGAUGACGGCCCUACGGUUUGUAAACUUCUUUUAUAGGGGAAUAAAGUUAUCCACGUGUGCCUCUUUGCAUGUACCCUAUGAAUAAGCAUCGGCUAACUCCGUGCCAGCAGCCGCGGUAAUACGGAGGAUGCGAGCGUUAUCCGGAUUUAUUGGGUUUAAAGGGUGCGUAGGUGGGUUUUUAAGUCAGCGGUGAAAGUUUGGGGCUCAACCUUAAAAUUGCCGUUGAAACUGGGAGUCUGGAGUGUGUUUGAGGUAGGCGGAAUGCGUGGUGUAGCGGUGAAAUGCAUAGAUAUCACGCAGAACUCCGAUUGCGAAGGCAGCUUACUAAGCCAUAACUGACACUGAUGCACGAAAGCGUGGGGAUCAAACAGGAUUAGAUACCCGGGUAGUC